GGAGAGAUGGCUGAGUGGCCGAAAGCACAGGUUUGCUAAACCUGCGACGGGCAACUGUCCGAGGGUUCGAAUCCCUCUCUCUCCGCCA
This 88-nucleotide transfer RNA is filed under the name Lentisphaeria bacterium. RNAcentral describes it as "tRNA-Ser". It matches the Rfam family "tRNA". From Rfam's summary of the family: Transfer RNA (tRNA) molecules are approximately 80 nucleotides in length. Their secondary structure includes four short double-helical elements and three loops (D, anti-codon, and T loops). Further hydrogen bonds mediate the characteristic L-shaped molecular structure. tRNAs have two regions of fundamental functional importance: the anti-codon, which is responsible for specific mRNA codon recognition, and the 3' end, to which the tRNAs corresponding amino acid is attached (by aminoacyl-tRNA synthetases). tRNAs cope with the degeneracy of the genetic code in two manners: having more than one tRNA (with a specific anti-codon) for a particular amino acid; and 'wobble' base-pairing, i.e. permitting non-standard base-pairing at the 3rd anti-codon position. The record is from RNAcentral. Lineage: Bacteria; Pseudomonadati; Lentisphaerota; Lentisphaeria.